This is an RNA transcript of Anopheles merus, 7315 nucleotides long. It is a transcript of the gene named neuroglian, with no coding region annotated. The transcript has 6 exons. The record is from RefSeq and is a predicted model, not a curated record. NCBI's taxonomy places the organism in Eukaryota, Metazoa, Arthropoda, Insecta, Diptera, Culicidae.
CCGUUGGAUCAAGAACGGCAAAAAGUUCGAAUGGCAAACGUACGACGACCGGAUGUCCCAGCAGCCGGGGCGUGGUACGCUGGUAAUUACGUCACCGCGCGACGAAGAUCUCGGCCAGUACCAGUGCUUCGCGGAGAACGAGCACGGUACCGCCACCUCCAACUCGGUGUUUGUGCGCAAGGCGGAGCUGAACUCGUUCAAGGACGGGUCGCCCCAAACGCUGCAGGCGGACGAGGGCAAACCGUUCAAGCUGGUGUGCCAGCCGCCGGACGGCUGGCCGAAGCCGAACGUCUACUGGAUGAUCCAGAACAUGGACGGCGGCAUCCGGAGCAUCAACAACUCGCGCAUGACGCUCGACCCGGAGGGCAACCUGUGGUUCUCGAACGUGACGCGCGACGACGAAUCGAACGACUUCUUCUACGCCUGUGCCGCCUCGUCCGUGUUUCGCAGCGAGUACAAGAUCGGCAACCGGGUGCUGCUGCAGGUAAAGCAGACGGGCAUCUCGGCGGCCCAGAACCGGCACCCGCCCCAGCGCCAGUACGUGUCGCGCAAGAACGAGGUCGCGCUGAAGGGCAAGCAGAUCGAGCUGUUCUGCAUCUACGGCGGCACGCCGCUGCCCGAGACGGUGUGGACGAAGAACGGGCGCGCGAUCGUGUGGAACGACAAGAUCCAGCAGGACAACUACGGCAAGUCGCUCAAGAUACGGCGCGUCUCGUCGGAGGAUGCGGGCACGUACACGUGCGAGGUGUCGAACGGCGUCGGGCAGGCGGACUCGUACUCGAUCAACCUGGCGGUGAACGCGGUGCCGUACUUUACGGUCGAGCCGGAGAUCGUGAACGCGGCGGAGGGCGAGACGGCCGAGUUUAAGUGCGAGGCGGCCGGCAACCCGAAGCCGAACAUCAUGUGGAUCCACAACGGCAAGCAGAUCGACGUGAGCCAGAGCAAUGCGCGCCGCAUCGUCGGCUCGUCCAGCAUCUACAUCAGCAAGCUGCAGAAGAGCGACACGGGCAACUACGGCUGUAACGCGACCAACUCGCUCGGCUACGUGUACAAGGACGUGUACCUGAACGUGCUGGCGCUCGCGCCGGAAAUUACCGAUCCGCCCAAGCGCGAGUUCACCGUCGACCAGCGCAACGUGACGAUGACGUGCCGGGUGUUCGGUGCGCCGAAGCCGCAGGUCAAGUGGCUGCGGAACGACCGCGAGCUGACCGGCGGCCGGUACCAGACGAUGCCGAGCGGCGACCUGUUCAUCCGCGACGUGAAGUUUGACGACGCGGGCGAGUACACGUGCCACGCGGUGAACAAUCUCGGCAGCAAGUCGGCGUCCGGCGAGCUGAUCGUGAAGGAGCGCACGGUCAUCAACGAUCCGCCGCAGGACUACGAGGCGGAGGCGGGCACGACCGUCACGUUCCGGUGCAACGCGAUCGCCGACUCGUCGCUCGAGCUGACGAUCGAGUGGCUGACCAAGGGCGAGAUCAUCGAUUUCGAGAACCAGCCGCGCUUCAUCCGCACCUCCGACAACUCGCUGAUGAUUUCGAAGACGAUCGAGCUGGACACGGGCACCUACACCUGUCUCGCCCGCACCGACCUGGACGAGGUGAUGGCGAACGCGACGCUCACCGUGAUGGACCGGCCGAACCCGCCGACGCUGACGCGCGUCAACUGCAAGGGCAAGGUGGCCCAGAUCGAGUGGAUCUCGAACGGCGACAACCGGUCCCCGAUCCUGAACUACAUCAUCGAGUACAACACCUCGUUCACGCCCGACACGUACGACGUGCUGUCGGACGACGUGCCCGGCACGGACUUUGCCUGGACGGUGAACACCACGCCCUGGAACAACUACACCUUCCGCGUGAUCGCGGUGAACAAGGUCGGCCGGUCGCUGCCGUCCGGCCACAGCGACGUCUGCACGACCGAGUCGAGCGUGCCGUACAAAAACCCGGACAAUCUCGAGGGCGAAGGCACGACGCCGACCAAUCUCGUAAUUAAGUGGCGCCCGCUCGCGCAGGUCGACCACAACGCGCCCGGCCUGCACUAUCGCGUCUACUGGCGGCGGGACAUACCCGGCGCGGAGUGGAACUCGGCGGACGUGCGCGACUGGCGCCAGUCGUCCUACACGGUCGAAGGUUUGCCGACGUUCACGCGCUACAGCGUGAAGGUGGUGGCGCUGAACGAUCGCGGCGAGGCGAACUCGGGCCCGUGGGAAAUCAUGGCGUACAGCGGGGAGGACACGCCGCUCGAUGCGCCGGCCAACUUUACGCUGAUCCAGGUGACGGGACCGACGGCGGCCAUCCUCAGCUGGAACCCGGUGACGCCCGAAUCGCUGCGCGGCCACUUCAAGGGCUACAAGAUCCAAACCUGGACCGAGGCGGACGGCGAGGAGAACCUGCGCGAGAUACUGAUCACCGCCGACUCGAAGCAGGCGCUCGUGACGGACUUCGUGCCGGACGCGACCAACUACGCCCGCAUCCUCGCGUACAACGGCCGGUACAAUGGGCCGGCCAGCACGACGCUGUCGUUCGACACGCCCGAGGGCGUGCCGAACACGAUCCAGGCGCUCGAGGCGUACCCGCUCGGGUCGUCCGCGUUCCUGCUGCGCUGGAAGAAACCGCUGCAACCGAACGGCAAGCUCACCGGCUACCGGAUCUACUACGAGGAGGUGAAGGGCACGACGGUGGGCCCGCGGAUGGAGCGCGAACCGCACAUCUCCGAUCCGGCCGUGCUGGAGGCGAAGCUGGGCCGCCUGAAGCCGGCUGCCAAGUAUCGUAUUCACGUCGUCGCCACCACCAAGGCUGGCGAAGGGCAAGACUUCUACAUCGAGCGGGCCACCUCGUCCGGGCUGGGUCUGCCACCGGACGUACCCAACUUCUACUGGGAAAACAUCCGGUCGGAGAACGGGCUCGCCAACAUCAAGGUCGUGUGGCAGCCGGCCCUCGGCGGCAAGGCCGGCUCGCACUUCUACGUCAAGUACCGCGUCAAGGACGAGUCGAGCUGGCAGACGACCGAUCCGGAGCUGUACGAAAACUAUCUGAUCGUGCACGGCAUCAACCCGGACCAUCUGUACGAGUUCCGGGUCGUGUCGGUCGACGGCGAAUAUCAGACGGAAUCGGCCACGCAGGAAGUCGACACCUACGGCAUCCAGAGCUCCGUGAAGGUGCCGGGCGAUAACAUUGCGACGGCCGGCUGGUUCAUCGGCAUGAUGCUGGCGAUCGCGUUCCUCAUACUGGUGCUGAUCAUCAUCUGCAUCGUGAAGCGCAACCGGGGCGGCAAAUACGACGUGCACGAUCGGGAGCUGGCCAACGGCCGCAACGACUACACCGAGGAGGGCGGCUUCCCGGAGUACUCGCAACCUGUUUUACGUGAUUACAGUUUGGACAAUAAAAGCCAGGGCCGACAAUCGCUGAACUCGCAAAAAGUAGGACCGGAAAGUGAUACAGAUUCCAUGGCGGAAUACGGUGAAGGUGAUACAGAAGGUAUGAAUGAGGACGGUUCCUUCAUUGGACAGUACGGCCGGAAGGGUGGCAAAAACGCGGAUAGCAAUUCGCAGGCGUUCGCAACACUAGUUUAGUGAGGGAUAUGUGUGUGUUUUUUUUAGGGAAAAAAAUCGUUGUAGAGCUACACCACUUCUUCUUUUUUUUGGUCCAAACUUCUAGCGUGUAUACGUACGCGCUCACCUAUCCCCCCUUUUUGUUUGCCCGCGCAACAGUAGCGUACAGAUUGUAGAGUAAAUGUGGAUUGGAAACGAAAGCCGAAUUCAUGUUAGCGCUACGAAAGAAGAAUGUAUUAGGAUUAAAAAGAGUAACAGGAACGGCGAGAGUUGGGAAAAGGGGGGGAGUAUGAUUAAGGGACAGUUACAGUUCAAAAGCACCGUUCAACAAGGUUAAUUUGAAAAUUUUAUAUCGAAAUGAUGCUCUCCAAUAUCGAUUCUCUGUAAUUAUGGAUUGAGUUUCAAAGCUAACUGAAACAAACUUAUAAAAAUCCACAACCGCUACUUUCCUUUCCCACCUCUUCCCACACAUCAACUCUCCCUCCAACUGCGUCGAACUAGUUUUUUUUGCGCAAUAAAAAAAGAAAUAAGAAAGCCACUACACUAGCUAGUAAGCAAUCGAAGCGAUGCAAAAUGGCCCCAAUAAAAACGGGCUGGGGAAGAAUAUUGGUGUGUUAGUCCGGGAACCGCACGAUACCCCUUUUUUAUCUUUCCGGCCACCUCUCGGCCGGCGGAUGGGAAGGAAAACCCGUUGUUUUUUAUUUUAAGUUUAGGUGUACACACACAAACACACACAUCAAUCGCGCACGUGAAAUGAUGCGUUUGUGUUAGGAUGUAGUUUUAAAUGUCAGUCGCGCUCGGCGGGGUGUGAAGAAAAAACAUUGUGAAAACUAGUGAGCAAAAUCAAAAGUGAAAUCAUCACACAGCAUAAUUAUGCGUUUGUUUGUUUGUUUUUCUUCUCGUAUUAGUGAGCGCAAUAUAUUGUUGUAAAAACCCACCCCGUAUAGAGUUUUGAACAUAGAUUACUGGAGAGAUCACACACAAAACAAAUGCUGGUAGAAAAUGAAGAAUUGAAGUUUUACAUUUAAUUGAAAUAGGACCACCCGGGCGGGCCGGUAGGAUUAGCAUAGCAUAGUGCAACGAAUCGAAAUAAUUCACGGAACAUCACAGCAAGCACACACAAACUCUCUAGAGAGAGCGUACGUUUUGCGCCGCUAAAAUUCUUUUAUCUGUAGAAUGUUGUUCACAAGCGUACAAGAUAGCACGUCCAAGAAAAGAGGGGGGGGGGGGGGGGUAUGGGAGAGAACUACUGCGAAUUUGCUGUCCUUGAUCCGCCGCCCAAACAUACCGUCUACACCUUGUCCCGGGGUGUUGAGCGGGUUCCGUGAACAAAAAAAUAUAAAAUAGCAGAAAUCAUUACAACGCGACGACUCCAUCACGACCAUCACGCACGACGCCACCUUCUCAAUCAUCGAAAACACAACACCGCCGAGCAAUGAAAACCGUAAAAAGAAGAAGCCGUAGAAGGUGUCCCAGUUAUCAGUGUUCCGUUUUUGCUGGUUUUUGUUUCACGGAUUAUGGUUUUUUUUUCGGUUAUCCGGGCAGCGACCACCCUCAAGCUCUUUCCCCUCUCCAAACGCUUCCGCGUUGCACUGAGCGCACGCAAUUAUGUGUAGGUGGCCAGUUCCCGAGGUGGCUCCUUCAUUGGCCAGUACGUGCCGGGCAAGCCGCCCGUUAGCGCACAGUCGACGCCGCAGAAUCCAUCGCUCCAGGGCGCCAACGCAGGCAUGGCAACGUACGUCUAAAAAGUGUGUGUGCUCGUGUGCAACCACACACACGCGCGCGCGCGCGCGUCACAAGAUCAUCUUUCACCUGGGCAGAGAGCAACCUCGACUACAGUGUUUAAAACGACGGCAGCAGCAACAGCAGCACAACACACGCGCUUGUAGCACACUACGAAGCCACUCACUCGCGAGGAGAAACUAUUUGAAAAUGUUAGGAAAUACUUAAUGCAUACAGCGAGAGUAAGGCAGAGAGAGAAAGGAAGAAAGGGCGAGCGAAUGCUAGAAGGAGGGAUUAAUUUGCAAGACACUGCCCGCGCAUCUGAUGAAAACGUUAAGAAUUUAAUCGGCUUUGAGAUAGAGUAAAACUUCCCUCCAUCUCUCUCGCUCUCUCUCUCUCUCUCUCUUAAGUAAUUCCGAAUUUGUUUUUCGUUUCUCGGCAACAGAUGAGUGAAUAGUGAAAUCACAAGACACAAAAGGAACAACACACAGCCGUUCGUGUUAGGGAAAAGCGCUUUUAAAAAGAGAAAGCUGUUGACGAUUGCUAGCAAAAGUAUUAAACAACGUAGCGGCGGGAGAAGGAUACGGGAAAAGCUUGUCGCGCCAAACCCCAUUGUCAGUGAAUGAUCAUCGAACCAUACAGAGAGCGUGGGAAAGAGGAGAGGGGUGUGUUGUGGCGUUUUUCGUUUUUUUUUUUUUUCAUUCUUUCUGUACCACUUAGUGUGAAACGAUCGCAAAGGAUGCGAGAAACGCUUGAUGGUGUAUUAUUUUUUGAUUUUCUAUUCAUUUUGCUUUUUCAUUUUUACCGUGAAAACCAUCUGGUUUAAGAAUCUCAGCGUUUAAAACGUCUAGAAAGGUCAAGGGCGGCACAGACACACAGAUUUAGCAAUCGUUCUUACUUGAGGCCACUGCCCCGUGUGUGUGUGUGUGUGUGUGUGUGUGGGAACCGGCCCCGUAAGCUUAAUGAUUCUGUGCAUUAGCGAAGCGCAUACACAUAUACAGAAAAUCUCGAUACAGAAAUCCACACCUCACUUUUUCAUCAAAGACUAGAAACUGAAUCUCAUCCAAUCUUUUUUUUUUUUUUUUAAUUUCGACACACGAACUCCGCGCACAAUGAAAAUCUCGUUCGUUUGCAAAACAUUUGCUUUCCACGGUAAAAACACGAAAAAGGAUGCAGGGCAAGGUGUGUGUGUGUGUGUGUGUGGCGUUGCUGUGUCGGGAGUUUUUGCGCGAGGGGGUUCAAUUCAACACAAUCUUGAAACUUUGUUACGUCCAAAUUGUAAUCUUACGUGUAAAUUUUACACUCACGCUCUCCACGAUUUUACGAUUUAACGCUACGUGUUGUUGUUGGUAUAGGUUGCGAAAACCAAACUCUGAGACGCCUUUUAUUGUAGGAAAAGCAAAACACGAACUCUCUCUCUCUUAUUUUGCUAUGAAUAUUGUUAUCGUCGCCCUAAGUGUUAGUGCAGCUUCAGUUGAAAAAUAGCGAAACCCAACGGAGGCAACAACGAAACUCUAGAUUUGUGCAGCUAUAACUACUAAGUGUCAGGUUGUUGUUAUAUUUUACGUGUACGUUGCAUCUCAUCCCCCCCACCCCCCCCCCCCCCGUUUUUCGCUUGUUUUGUAAAACCUUUCGUGGUGUAAAACCUCGGUCCGAGCGAAGUGUGUCGCUUUGUGCCUGUGGUCUUUAAGCCCUCCAAAUAGGGCUGUUGUGCACUGGAGACGGCGGAAGCGCCCAAUACAAGUGAGAUGAAUCUCUUCUAACAAUACACAGAAGAAACAAAAACAGCAACAAAACAACUCCCAUACAAUAUAUAACAAAGUAACGAAACGAACGAACCACUUGGCGUGUCGUGGUAGCAAAUCGUGUGUCGGUUUUAUGUAAGAUCUAGCGCGAAAAGUAAACGAGAGAAACAAUAUUUGUUCUUUCAUUCCCAUUACAAACACUCUCCCACACAGCAGCACACACACCCGUUGUGCGAAAGUGCGAAGCAGAAAAUCUUUAUCUUUAACAUAAUUUAUAAAUAAAACAUUACUAGGAACUGUA